This 76-nucleotide transfer RNA is filed under the name Acidibacillus sp. RNAcentral describes it as "tRNA-Ala". It matches the Rfam family "tRNA". Rfam says of the family: Transfer RNA (tRNA) molecules are approximately 80 nucleotides in length. The record is from RNAcentral. Lineage: Bacteria; Bacillati; Bacillota; Bacilli; Caryophanales; Alicyclobacillaceae. RNAcentral also lists the same sequence under 2 other names.
GGGGAUAUAGCUCAGUUGGUAGAGCACCUGCCUUGCACGCAGGGGGUCAGCGGUUCGAGUCCGCUUAUCUCCACCA